RNAcentral lists this ribosomal RNA (1359 nucleotides) under uncultured bacterium. Its description in RNAcentral is "bacterial SSU rRNA". It matches the Rfam family "Bacterial small subunit ribosomal RNA", at positions 28 to 1381 of the family's 1533-position model. The record is from RNAcentral.
GAUGAACGCUAGCUACAGGCUUAACACAUGCAAGUCGAGGGGCAGCAUGGUCUUAGCUUGCUAAGGCCGAUGGCGACCGGCGCACGGGUGAGUAACACGUAUCCAACCUGCCGUCUACUCUUGGACAGCCUUCUGAAAGGAAGAUUAAUACAAGAUGGCAUCAUGAGUCCGCAUGUUCACAUGAUUAAAGGUAUUCCGGUAGACGAUGGGGAUGCGUUCCAUUAGAUAGUAGGCGGGGUAACGGCCCACCUAGUCUUCGAUGGAUAGGGGUUCUGAGAGGAAGGUCCCCCACAUUGGAACUGAGACACGGUCCAAACUCCUACGGGAGGCAGCAGUGAGGAAUAUUGGUCAAUGGGCGAGAGCCUGAACCAGCCAAGUAGCGUGAAGGAUGACUGCCCUAUGGGUUGUAAACUUCUUUUAUAAAGGAAUAAAGUCGGGUAUGGAUACCCGUUUGCAUGUACUUUAUGAAUAAGGAUCGGCUAACUCCGUGCCAGCAGCCGCGGUAAUACGGAGGAUCCGAGCGUUAUCCGGAUUUAUUGGGUUUAAAGGGAGCGUAGAUGGAUGUUUAAGUCAGUUGUGAAAGUUUGCGGCUCAACCGUAAAAUUGCAGUUGAUACUGGAUAUCUUGAGUGCAGUUGAGGCAGGCGGAAUUCGUGGUGUAGCGGUGAAAUGCUUAGAUAUCACGAAGAACUCCGAUUGCGAAGGCAGCCUGCUAAGCUGCAACUGACAUUGAGGCUCGAAAGUGUGGGUAUCAAACAGGAUUAGAUACCCUGGUAGUCCACACGGUAAACGAUGAAUACUCGCUGUUUGCGAUAUACUGCAAGCGGCCAAGCGAAAGCGUUAAGUAUUCCACCUGGGGAGUACGCCGGCAACGGUGAAACUCAAAGGAAUUGACGGGGGCCCGCACAAGCGGAGGAACAUGUGGUUUAAUUCGAUGAUACGCGAGGAACCUUACCCGGGCUUAAAUUGCAGAUGAAUUACGGUGAAAGCCGUAAGCCGCAAGGCAUCUGUGAAGGUGCUGCAUGGUUGUCGUCAGCUCGUGCCGUGAGGUGUCGGCUUAAGUGCCAUAACGAGCGCAACCCUUGUUGUCAGUUACUAACAGGUUCCGCUGAGGACUCUGACAAGACUGCCAUCGUAAGAUGUGAGGAAGGUGGGGAUGACGUCAAAUCAGCACGGCCCUUACGUCCGGGGCUACACACGUGUUACAAUGGGGGGGUACAGAGGGCCGCUACCACGCGAGUGGAUGCCAAUCCCCAAAACCUCUCUCAGUUCGGACUGGAGUCUGCAACCCGACUCCACGAAGCUGGAUUCGCUAGUAAUCGCGCAUCAGCCACGGCGCGGUGAAUACGUUCCCGGGCCU